AGCAGCCGCGGUAAUUCCAGCUCCAAUAGCGUAUAUUAAAGUUGUUGCAGUUAAAAAGCUCGUAGUUGAAUUUCGGGAUUUAUCCGUCGGUCGGGCUUUUGGGUCUGUACUGGCGUGAUGGAUUUCUACCUUCUGAAUAUCCGGCAUGUCAUUAAUUUGGUGCGCCGGGGAAGCAGGACUGUUACCUUGAAAAAUUGAGUGCUUAAAGCAGGCUAUUGCCUGAAUACAUUAGCAUGGAAUAAUGAAGUAGGACGGCAUGGUUCUAUUUUGUUGGUUUCUAGGACCACCGUAAUGAUUAAUAGGGAUAGUUGGGGGCAUUAGUAUUCAAUUGUCAGAGGUGAAAUUCUUGGAUUUUAUUGAAGACUAACUACUGCGAAAGCAUUUGCCAAGGAUGUUUUCAUUAAUCGAGAACGAAAGUUAGGGGAUCGAAGACGAUCAGAUACCGUCGUAGUCUUAACCAUAAACUAUGCCGACUAGGAAUCAGACGAUAGUUAAUUUUAAUGUACUGUUGGCUACCUUA
Molecule: ribosomal RNA, 520 nt
Filed under: uncultured Glomeromycotina
Lineage: Eukaryota; Fungi; Glomeromycota
Description: SSU rRNA
Rfam family: Eukaryotic small subunit ribosomal RNA
Source: RNAcentral